Non-coding RNA from Solanum lycopersicum (tomato), 2355 nucleotides. Lineage: Eukaryota; Viridiplantae; Streptophyta; Magnoliopsida; Solanales; Solanaceae. The record is from RefSeq and is a predicted model, not a curated record.
AUUUUCAUUGAAACUUUCGUCUUUACGAGUGAAUUAAUUUCCCAUUUUUCUCGAUAUUCAACUUUUUUAUCUUUCUGAAUUCUGAUUGAUGUUUAUUUGAUUACUUGCUUAAUUUCACAUCCCCAGAAUCUUAAAAAAUGGGGUUGAAGGAAUUUUGUGGGGUUCUUUAGGGUUUUAGCUUCAAAAAUUUAGGUGAAAAAGAGAGGAAACAGAGAUGUUAGAUGCAAGAAGGCCUCAUUUUCUUGUGGGUUUUAACCCUUUCAUGAAUUCUGAAAAAUUGAAAAUUCCAUCAAAAUUCAUUAAACAUAUGGAAGGAGGGGAUUCUGGAACAACAGUUCUGGUGGGUCCCAGUGGAAAUGCUUGGCCUGUGGACUUAAUACAGCAAGAUGAUGGUUUAUUCUUCAAUAAUGGAUGGGUUUCAUUUGUUAAAGAUCACUGCCUUGAAACAGGGGAUUCUUUGGUUUUCAGAUAUGACGGUGAUUUGCAUUUCACUGUGCAAGUAUUUGACGAGAGUUCAUGUGAGAAGGAGGCUUCUUAUAAUGCUGACUGCAGUCAAGGAGCAACUGACUUGUACAAUCUUGCUCUGAAAAAAAGAGACCGAGGAAACUCUGUUUUAUUAGAUUGUAUGGUUGAAGGUGUACCGAAGAAAAUGAAAAGCACCGAGAUCCCUUCCGAAUGCACAAGUAGCCAGGAUACACAUGGUCUUGCAUCUAGCAAGGAUGGGUACACUCCAGAAGAUGCAGUUUGCUCAUAUGCAGGAAGAAAUUAUGCUGCUAGUUUUCUGGAUGAAAUGGAGAAUGCUGGAGAUGCAUUAAACAGUAAAGUUACCAUUGCUGUGCCAGCUCAAGCAAAGAUAAUCUUUAGCAAUCCAGGCAAUGCUUCCUCCGAGAAAGAUAUGUGGUUGCCUGCACAGGAAGCAGAAAAGGUUGCUGGUUUGUUUACCUCAAGUUUGCCCAGCUUUACUAAAGUUAUGAAGAGGUUCAACAUCAGUGGCUCAUACACCCUGCAUAUCCCUUACCAAUUUGCCACGGAACACCUUCCCAACUGCAAGGUGAAGAUUUUACUUCAUAAUUUAGAAGGGAAAACUUGGACUGUGAAUUCAAUUCCGACUACAAGAGUACAAACAUCACAUACCUUUUGCGGAGGGUGGUUAUCUUUUGUUCGCGACAAUAACAUUGAUUUGGGAGAUACCUGCAUUUUUGAGCUUGUCCGCAAGUGUGAAUUGCGUGUGCGUGUUCUUAAGGCGGAAAAGGAAGGAAGUGAUUACAGUAGUAAGGUAGUUGAUGAAGGACUAGUUAUUGAUUAUGCAAAAAAUUCUGGAUGUAAGUCCAGGAAAGUGGGAUCGAGUUCUGAUCAAGCGAAGGUUAUGACAUAUGAUAAAAAAGGAUCUACUCCUGAAAAAGAGAAACAUGGCGAUAUGUUGAAGAAUCAUCAGCUCCAUUCUCAGUCAAAGAUUAGCAGUGGAGAUUCAGCUAUCAGGAAACCUACUAGUUCUCAAGAUAAACAGGGUUCUUUCACCAAGAGCUGUAUGUCUAUGAAAUCAGUACCUGAAGAGAAAUUAGCCGCUGAGUCUUUCAUUUCCAAUUUCCCUCAUUUCGUGCGAAUCAUGAAAAAAUUCAACAUUAGUGGCUCUUACACCUUGAAAGUUCCAUGUCGGUUCUCAAUGGAACACCUCCCAAACUGCAGAACAGAGAUUGUGCUUCAGAACUUGAAAGGAGAAUGUUGGACUGUAAAUUCAAUUCCGACUGUAAAGGUACAAACGCUGCACACAUUCUGUGGAGGAUGGUCGGCAUUUGUCCGGGAGAAUGACAUCCAGAUGGGAGAUAUCUGCAUAUUUGAGCUCAUUGGGAAAUAUGAAAUGCGUGUACAUGUAUGUGCAAUUGGGAAGAAGGGGUUAGAUUACCAAAAUGGGACAGCUCCUAAAGAGUCGGAUAUCCUUGCUUCCUUGACAAGCUAGAGACCUUUGGUGUGAAACACUGUAGGAAAGAUUACUUCUUGCGUAAUACAAGGCUUGGUGUUUCACUGGAAGAUAACGAAACUUGAAUACAUGGGAUCAGAAAAGGUACACAUAUCAAUGUUAUGGAGAAGCACUUGAGUAGAUUAUCAAACAUUUGACUAGGUUGGCCAUAUGCCUUCAGUAGCUUAGAUGUUUUGUUGUUGGCAUUGUCUGAGCACUCUUUUCAGACUCUGUGUUGUAUAAGUACUGCCAGAAAAGCUUCUCAUUUUCUUGAUGUAAAUAAGUGUGUUUUUAGUUCAAUUGUCCUGAAACAAUCUGCUGUUUGGUCUGUAUAUGUAUAAACAGUAAUCAGACAGAACAUCUUCUAGAAUGAGAAAUUAAAGUUUCACUCUACUGGA